UGGCCAGAGGGAACUUCCCAUAAAUGAAUUUACAAUCCACCACCUAACAUCAGCCACCUGACC
RNAcentral lists this transfer RNA (63 nucleotides) under Otocryptis wiegmanni. Its description in RNAcentral is "tRNA-Tyr". Lineage: Eukaryota; Metazoa; Chordata; Lepidosauria; Squamata; Agamidae. The record is from RNAcentral.